RNAcentral lists this long non-coding RNA (280 nucleotides) under Elaeis guineensis (African oil palm). RNAcentral's name for it is "long non-coding RNA (EGUI_LNC020992)". The record is from RNAcentral. Lineage: Eukaryota; Viridiplantae; Streptophyta; Magnoliopsida; Arecales; Arecaceae.
AUGCUAUGCAAAGAAACAAGAUGUCCGCACAAAAAUCUUUUGAUUAGUCUCUAAUAUCCUAGGUGUAUUUUGAAAAAUUAAAAUUAAUAUUUUUUUUAAAUCAAUCGUGCCAAUGAUCUUUGGAAACGGCACCAAACUUUGAUCGCUAUCAUAGGCAAUCAAAGUUGAUUACCGAUUCAAAACUAUAUAGAUAUUAGUGAGUGGGGAUCGUAUCCACAGAGAUCGUGGAUAGAAUUGUGGUUACAGGAGAGUUAAGAUCAUUAGAUUAAAAGCAUUGCAA